GGCUACUGGUGAAACAUCACACUGCCUUGUCAAGGCAGAAUUGUGGGUUAAACCCCCGCGUAGCCU
This 66-nucleotide transfer RNA is filed under the name Pollachius pollachius (pollack). RNAcentral's name for it is "transfer RNA-Asp". It matches the Rfam family "tRNA". From Rfam's summary of the family: Transfer RNA (tRNA) molecules are approximately 80 nucleotides in length. Their secondary structure includes four short double-helical elements and three loops (D, anti-codon, and T loops). Further hydrogen bonds mediate the characteristic L-shaped molecular structure. tRNAs have two regions of fundamental functional importance: the anti-codon, which is responsible for specific mRNA codon recognition, and the 3' end, to which the tRNAs corresponding amino acid is attached (by aminoacyl-tRNA synthetases). tRNAs cope with the degeneracy of the genetic code in two manners: having more than one tRNA (with a specific anti-codon) for a particular amino acid; and 'wobble' base-pairing, i.e. permitting non-standard base-pairing at the 3rd anti-codon position. Lineage: Eukaryota; Metazoa; Chordata; Actinopteri; Gadiformes; Gadidae. The record is from RNAcentral.